CAGCACGCCCUGGACUUCUCUACCCGGCAAAGCAGUCCCCAGGCUGGACCGCAGAGAACAAGGAAAUGGACUCCCAGCUGCAGUCUGCAAUGUGCCAAAAUUUACAGCCUGUUGGAGGAAGACAGCAUCAAGAUGCGGAUAACUCGGAGCCUAGAGAGGCCCACAGCCUAGGCCCUGAUCACAUCUCAAGCCCAGCUGUCCUCCAGCCACCUCCAAGAUCGGCCUGCACGACUCCCCUGCUGGGAACACUCUAUGGAUUCUCUUGCCUCCUCGCUCUCCCGGCCUUGUCAGACCUCAGUUUUGGUUUAAUUUGUGCAGCCCUUUGAAGCACGCGUACCUCUAGGGAAAAAGCAGAAUCAAGUACUCUUCUUGGCCACCCAUUUCCUGAAGCGUGAAAAGGAAACAUUUCAUCAGUGCUUUGUCAAGGAGACAACAGGAAGGGGUAGCGGCUCUCUGGCUGGCAGGGCGAGCCGCCUGGUGUUUCACAGAGGAGGGAGGUGAGAUGGCACAUGGGCGCCGAGGCCCCAGCCAGGGGCAGCAUGGACACAGCCCUGGGCACAGUGUCCCACGGGCCACUCCGGCAGAGCCACGAACCCUCAGCCCUCCUGGGCAGGGAGGAAAGGCCUGGGGCAUCACCCCCAUUGCCCAGGGGGGAGACGAGAGCCAGAGAGGUGGAGAGUGACAGCUUCGGUGGAGAGACACUCCUGUCUUUACACCCUGGCUUCCUUAUUCAUGCUUCUUUCGCUCCUCGGGAUUUUUUUUUUUUUUUUUUUUUAGUUUGGGGAAUGGGGACUAGACAGUUGAAGACAGAUUUGUUUCUAACCUGGCUACCUUCCAGUGAUGUAGCCUUUAUCAGUUUAGCUUGUCCUCUUCCAGCCCACGCUAUUCUGUGUCCCUCGGCCAAGGGAGCUCAGCCAAGGCCCCCCCAGCGUCCCACCCAGCAGAGUUGCAAGAGGCCCCAGGCCCCUUCCUGUUCACUCCUGCUCUGCAGACAUGAUGCCAUGAGGCAGACAUGUAGGGACAUGGACACAAGGGGCAGCCUGUGGCUGGAUAGUGGAGGGCCCUGAAGGGCUGGGGAAGCUUCUAAGGGAAGCAGAGUCCUUCCCACAGCAGCAGGUUCAUGGUCUGUGCACAUGGGGGAUGAGGCCCGGGAGGGCAGAGCUCCUGGGUAGCACGUAAACCCGUGUCUUGUCUUUUCCCAUCCAAGCUGCCUGUUGUGGGCCAGAGUACCCCGGCGGUGGCCAUUGCUGGGGUGGCUGCCUCUAACCACAAAGAGAGGAAGGAACAUUCUCAGCCUGGGCACUUGAACCCAGCACAUUGCCAUCCUCAGCAAGAUGUUGCAAGUUCCUAAUCUGGACCCAGAGGCCAGGGAGUUGAGGUGUCAUCUGGAGCCCAGAGUUGACUGUUACCCACAAACACAGACAUCCGUGGGGCCUACAACACCCUCUCCCCAGUUGUCACACCCUCAGCAGUGCCUCCGGCCUGGGUGGUAUCCUGGGGAAGCCCAGCUGCCACCUCUCUACAAACGGCCCCGCGGCAGCUGUGCCAACAAGCCACUUGCCUGGGGCGGGGCUGGGGUCCACCUUGCUGUCAUUUCACACCAUUAUGGACUGAUGCAACCAGCUUUCAUCAGACACCACCGGGGAAGAAGCACAUUACAACAGCGUGCUCAGCACUUCCCCUGCCCGUGCACAAGGCUUGCUCACCUCAGCCAAGAUGGACCUCUUCCCGCCCUGGUAUCUCACCCCGCCAGGCUGCGAAGUGCCUUCUGCAGCGGACCAGAGCAGAUCGCCUCCUCCCAAGAAAUUAAACCAGUGGCUUUCGAUCCUGGCGGGGCACCGCCAUCAUCAAGGAUAUUAAAAAGAUAUUGAUGCCUGUCCCUCACUCUCACCCCAAAGAUACCAACUGAAUUGAUCCGGGUUAAAAAACAAAAACAAAAACCUAAGUGUGUAUUGAAGGAUCACAUACAGGCAACACCACAAACCUGAGGUGUAAAUCUCAGUGAAUUUUCACUCAGCGAACCCCGGGUUACCCGAAGUAAGCAGCGUCCAGGUCAAGAAGCAGAACAUCACCAACGUCCGCUGGUGCCCUGAAGGGUAACCACCAUUCUCACUUCUAAAGGUGAGACGAAAGCUGUUACACCCAUGGUAUAGAUGAAGAAACAGAGGCUACGGGAGGUCUCAUCUGAGGCCACGCGGCUAGUAAGCGGCAGAGCGGGGACUUGAUGCAGAUCUGGCUGACUUCCAAGAGAUGCUCUCGAGGGCCAGUCCUGCCUCAGCCCUGUGGGACUACAGACGAGAUGAGCUGCUUGCUCCCGGGGAGCUUCCAGUCUGGUCGGAGAGAUUGAGCUCCCCACAGACCACAAGGGGAAUGGCAGACAGGAAGGGGACAGGCACUGGAUGGGCUGCUGAGGAAAUCUGUACCCUGCAAACAUGACAACUUGGGAAUCUGUGCAAAUGGUGUGAAAGAAGACCAAAUGGUCCCAGAGGAUGACAGCCUGGGCAUGACCCAACCCCACCAACCCGCGGGAUUCACUCCCAGAGGAAAGGACUCCACCUCUAACCAGGCCCAGGACUUUUUCUUGUCUUUGGCCGUCCCUGCCUAAAACUUCCAGAGACCUGAGGAAGCUCUUAUCUUGCGCACAGCCCACUGACAGAUGUUGAAGACUGAUAUAUCAAGAAGGGACGGUUUCCAUCUGUCUUCCCUGAAGAUUUUCUGCCGCCAUGACCCUCUCUAUGGGCAGCUGACAUAUUAGCCUCUCUCUUUCUUCCUAUUGUCAAGGGAGCUAAAUGAAUAAACCAGCCCAA
Non-coding RNA from Leptonychotes weddellii (Weddell seal), 2807 nucleotides. The record is from RefSeq and is a predicted model, not a curated record. Lineage: Eukaryota; Metazoa; Chordata; Mammalia; Carnivora; Phocidae.